GAACAGCAGAGAGGUGGAUGCAAGUUCUUCAGCAGCUGACAUCCCCAACAUCCAGGAGCUCAGCUUGGGAGCAGAUCUGCGGUGUCUAGGAAGCUUAUUCCAGACUUUUGGGGCAUAAAAACUGAAGCUUGCUUCACCGUGAUUUGUUCUGAGUCGAGGAAUGGUACCAAGAUGGCUGAGAUGGAGGAAGAACAAAAGUAUAAAGCAGCUCUGUGGAUGGCCAGCUAAGCUGUUUGUAAAGGAGGGAGUGUGACGGCCUGUUAUCACUGCUUCAGGCUCCUUUGCUUUUCCCCUCAGAUUGGGGUUAAAGAUCUAGAAGCACCUGAGAGGUGGGAUGGAGAAGAUGAUGUAAAGCCACCUCCUGCUGGGUCUCUCUCUCCAUCUCUGGGAGGCUGCUUGACAGCAUGGAAAAUGUUUCAUUUCAUGCAUCUUUUUACAACAAACUGGUGCAUACAUUAACAAUCCUCCAUGCAGGGGAUCCACCACUGAUGCGCACCAUUACUCAGCUCACAUUUAACUGUUUCUUUGUUAAAUAAACUAAUUGGGCAAACUAAGCUUCAUCUGUGGACUCUCCUCUUUUUGUUGCCAAGUUGGUAUCAAAAGAAAAAAAUAGUUUGCUCAGCAUAUUUCAUUCAAGUUUGGGUAUGGAAACCUGCGUGUUCUGACCCUGAAACUCAGAGGAAACAGAACUCUACACAGCAGCAAAUAUAGCGAACAUUUCCUUAUAAAUAUAUUCAAUAAAGAGGCAGGAAAUUCAAACCAGAUCAUGCUAACAAUCAGAGUAAACCACACAUACAAAGAAAGUGAGCCAAGUUUGUCCAUAAAUUAUUAUAAUUAUUUAAUUUAGUUUAAUAAAGUGGAAUGACACCAGAAACAUGUUCUGAAUACACAAGGAGUGGCUCCAAAACGGCGGAAAGCCAAGAAUGCAGCUUAAAUCCAUCAGCACUUAGAAAACAAUCCUGCCUCCUGUCAGUGCAAAGUAAUAUAGUCUAAUUUAGUUUUAACUGAUGGUCUACAAAAAGGUUUCCCAUUACCAAGGUGUCAGACAAGACGAACCACAUUGUUUGUUACAGCAAAAGGCUCUCAACACCAUCAGAACCUUAUUGGUGCAAACAAAUUAAUGACAUUGGUUACAGAUGCGUUUCUAAACCCCUGAAAGUUCCAGUGAGGAUCUGUGGAGCCAAAAUCUGAGAGGAAAGAAAGUAAUUAGUCUAUAAAGCAACCAUCACCAGGCGCUCCUCACAAGAGUCCAAAAAACGUAGAGAUAAGCUGUCCAGAAGCUAAGGACCACUCACAGAAAGUUUAAAAAAGACCAGGAGAUAGCAAGUAUUCUGCCCAUGAAAACAACAAGUAAUGCCUUUAAAUCAGUGGCGUCUAAAAACAUUCACCGCACACAUCUCCACUGCUGAAGAAAGAGCUCUGUGUUCCCCCCUCAGAAUUGA
Girardinichthys multiradiatus is the source of this 1442-nucleotide long non-coding RNA. RefSeq lists it as uncharacterized. The transcript has 3 exons. The record is from RefSeq and is a predicted model, not a curated record. Lineage: Eukaryota; Metazoa; Chordata; Actinopteri; Cyprinodontiformes; Goodeidae.